RNAcentral lists this ribosomal RNA (209 nucleotides) under uncultured bacterium. RNAcentral's name for it is "partial 16S ribosomal RNA". It matches the Rfam family "Bacterial small subunit ribosomal RNA", at positions 568 to 775 of the family's 1533-position model. The record is from RNAcentral.
UGCGUAGGUGGCGUGGUAAGUCGGGUGUGAAAUUUCGGAGCUUAACUCCGAAACUGCAUUCGAUACUGCCGUGCUUGAGGACUGGAGAGGGGACUGGAAUUUACGGUGUAGCAGUGAAAUGCGUAGAGAUCGUAAGGAAGACCAGUGGCGAAGGCGGGUCUCUGGACAGUUCCUGACACUGAGGCACGAAGGCUAGGGGGAGCAAACGG